This 253-nucleotide ribosomal RNA is filed under the name uncultured bacterium. RNAcentral describes it as "partial 16S ribosomal RNA". It matches the Rfam family "Bacterial small subunit ribosomal RNA", at positions 524 to 776 of the family's 1533-position model. The record is from RNAcentral.
UACGUAGGGUGCAAGCGUUGUCCGGAAUUAUUGGGCGUAAAGAGCUCGUAGGCGGCUAGAUGUGUCAAAGGUGAAAUCCCUCGGCUCAACUGAGGAACUGCCUUUGAAACUGUCUGGCUUGAGGCCGGGAGAGGGUAGCGGAAUUCCCAGUGUAGCGGUGAAAUGCGCAGAUAUCAGGAGGAACACCGGUGGCGAAGGCGGGUCUCUGGGCCGAUACUGACGCUGAGGAGCGAAAGCGUGGGGAGCGAACAGG